CCAAUAGCGUAUAUUAAAGUUGUUGCAGUUAAAAAGCUCGUAGUUGAAUUUCGAGAUCAAAUUGUUGGUCGUGCCUUGGUACGCACUGGCAUUAUUGGUUUCUCCCUUCUGAAGAACCAAGAUGUCAUUAAUUUGGUGUCUUGGGGAAUCAGGACUGUUACUUUGAAAAAAUUAGAGUGUUUAAAGCAGGCUCGCGCUUGAAUACAUUAGCAUGGAAUAAUGAAAUAGGACGUUUGAUUCUAUUUUGUUGGUUUCUAGGAUCGACGUAAUGAUUAAUAGGGAUAGUUGGGGGCAUUAGUAUUCAAUUGUCAGAGGUGAAAUUCUUGGAUUUAUUGAAGACUAACUACUGCGAAAGCAUUUGCCAAGGAUGUUUUCAUUAAUCAAGAACGAAAGUUAGGGGAUCGAAGACGAUCAGAUACCGUCGUAGUCUUAACCAUAAACUAUGCCGACUAGGGAUCGGAUGAUGUUAAUUUUUUAAUGACUCAUUCGGCGCCUUACGGGAAACCAAGUGUUUGGGUUC
This 520-nucleotide unclassified non-coding RNA is filed under the name uncultured Glomeromycotina. RNAcentral's name for it is "SSU rRNA". It matches the Rfam family "Eukaryotic small subunit ribosomal RNA", at positions 591 to 1114 of the family's 1831-position model. The record is from RNAcentral. Lineage: Eukaryota; Fungi; Glomeromycota.